Molecule: transfer RNA, 72 nt
Filed under: Epimedium wushanense
Lineage: Eukaryota; Viridiplantae; Streptophyta; Magnoliopsida; Ranunculales; Berberidaceae
Also listed under: 1 other name
Description: tRNA-Asn
Rfam family: tRNA
About the family: Transfer RNA (tRNA) molecules are approximately 80 nucleotides in length. Their secondary structure includes four short double-helical elements and three loops (D, anti-codon, and T loops).
Source: RNAcentral
CCUCAGUAGCUCAGCGGUAGAGCGAUCGGCUGUUAACUGAUUGGUCGUAGGUUCGAAUCCUACUUGGGGAGA